UCCCUUAGUUCUGCUCGGAUCCUGUUAUAACCCGGUGUUUUCGUAAUCUAGGUGACCCAAAUAACACGCUGGUAUACUUAGUUUGAUUUCGAAAAAAAUCAAUUUUUGGUGAAAAAAUUCGAUACGGGGGGGUAUACCCGAAAAAUGAAAAAACCCAAACUUUAAAGGUCGAUAUCUCAGCUUCUAUGGGAGCUAUCGGGAAAAUUCCGACGGUUUUGUCUUAGUUUCGUCAUUUUGAAUUCAACGAGACCAUCCGCAAGGUCGCAGCUCUUACGAUAGCCGAGAUAUGGCAUUUUUGAUGCCCAUUUUUGGCCUCAAAAACGGACGUCGAAAACGACUUUUUUAGGAUUUUCAAAGUGCUCUCAUUCCCUUAGUUCUGCUCGGAUCCUGUUAUAACCCGGUGUUUUCGUAAUCUAGGUGACCCAAAUAACACGCUGGUAUACUUAGUUUGAUUUUGAAAAAAAUCAAUUUUUGGUGAAAAAAUUCGAUACGGGGGGGUAUAUCCGAAAAAUGAAAAAACCCAAACUUUGAAGGUCGAUAUCUCGGCUUCUAUGGGAGCUAUCGGGAAAAUUCCGACGGUUUUGUCUUAGUUUCGUCAUUUUGAAUUCAACGAGACCAUCCGCAAGGUCGCAGC
This is a long non-coding RNA of Anthonomus grandis grandis, 634 nucleotides long. RefSeq lists it as uncharacterized. The record is from RefSeq and is a predicted model, not a curated record. The transcript has 3 exons. Lineage: Eukaryota; Metazoa; Arthropoda; Insecta; Coleoptera; Curculionidae.